AGUGAACGCUGGCGGUAGGCCUAACACAUGCAAGUCGAACGGCAGCACAGUAAGAGCUUGCUCUUACGGGUGGCGAGUGGCGGACGAGUGAGGAAUACAUCGGAAUCUACUUUUUCGUGGGGGAUAACGUAGGGAAACUUACGCUAAUACCGCGUACGACCUACGGGUGAAAGCAGGGGAUCUUCGGACCUUGCGCGAUUGAAUGAGCCGAUGUCGGAUUAGCUAGUUGGCGGGGUAAAGGCCCACCAAGGCGACGAUCCGUAGCUGGUCUGAGAGGAUGAUCAGCCACACUGGAACUGAGACACGGUCCAGACUCCUACGGGAGGCAGCAGUGGGGAAUAUUGGACAAUGGGCGCAAGCCUGAUCCAGCCAUACCGCGUGGGUGAAGAAGGCCUUCGGGUUGUAAAGCCCUUUUGUUGGGAAAGAAAAGCAGCAGGUUAAUACCCCGCUGUUCUGACGGUACCCAAAGAAUAAGCACCGGCUAACUUCGU
RNAcentral lists this ribosomal RNA (491 nucleotides) under uncultured bacterium. RNAcentral describes it as "partial 16S ribosomal RNA". It matches the Rfam family "Bacterial small subunit ribosomal RNA", at positions 29 to 506 of the family's 1533-position model. The record is from RNAcentral.